GUAAAUAUAGUAUAAAGGUUAGUAUAUUGUAUUGUGAAUUCAAAGAUACGAGUUCAAUUCUCGUUAUUUACC
RNAcentral lists this transfer RNA (72 nucleotides) under Nephromyces sp. ex Molgula occidentalis. RNAcentral describes it as "tRNA-His". It matches the Rfam family "tRNA". Rfam says of the family: Transfer RNA (tRNA) molecules are approximately 80 nucleotides in length. Their secondary structure includes four short double-helical elements and three loops (D, anti-codon, and T loops). The record is from RNAcentral. Lineage: Eukaryota; Apicomplexa; Aconoidasida; Nephromycida.